GUGGGGAAUCUUGCGCAAUGGGCGAAAGCCUGACGCAGCCAUGCCGCGUGAAUGAUGAAGGUCUUAGGAUUGUAAAAUUCUUUCACCGGGGACGAUAAUGACGGUACCCGGAGAAGAAGCCCCGGCUAACUUCGUGCCAGCAGCCGCGGUAAUACGAAGGGGGCUAGCGUUGCUCGGAUUUACUGGGCGUAAAGGGCGCGUAGGCGGACAUUUAAGUCAGGGGUGAAAUCCCGGGGCUCAACCUCGGAACUGCCUUUGAUACUGGGUGUCUUGAGUAUGAGAGAGGUGUGUGGAACUCCGAGUGUAGAGGUGAAAUUCGUAGAUAUUCGGAAGAACACCAGUGGCGAAGGCGACACACUGGCUCAUUACUGACGCUGAGGCGCGAAAGCGUGGGGAGCAAACAGGAUUAGAUACCCGAGUAGUCC
Molecule: ribosomal RNA, 425 nt
Filed under: uncultured bacterium
Lineage: Bacteria
Description: partial 16S ribosomal RNA
Rfam family: Bacterial small subunit ribosomal RNA
Source: RNAcentral